This is a long non-coding RNA of Oncorhynchus masou masou (cherry salmon), 4782 nucleotides long. RefSeq lists it as uncharacterized. The transcript is spliced from 6 exons. The record is from RefSeq and is a predicted model, not a curated record. Lineage: Eukaryota; Metazoa; Chordata; Actinopteri; Salmoniformes; Salmonidae.
UCAUCUACCCCAAGUGUUUCCCCGGCGGCCAUUACACACUGGGAGGCCCCCCUCCAAACCUUGGGACGGUCCACUGUUAUUAUUACAUCCCUUUACUUAGAUGUGUGUGUAUUAGGUAGUUGUUGUGGAAUUGUUAGAUAACUUGUUGAUAUUGCUGCACUGUCGGAACUAGAAGCACAAGCAUUUCACUACACUUGCAAUAACAUCUGCUAACCAUGUGUAUGUGACCAAUAUGAUUUGAUUUGAAGAGGUUUCAGCACUUCAUUAAUCAUUCAGUGAAGGAGAGCCCUCCUCUUCGAUGGGCACAUGAGCCAGAUGUCUUCCACCACACGGCACCCAUAGGUUGAGUUCUCUAAGGUAGCUGGAGACCACUCAGCCAUUUUGAAGCACUCCUACAUGGUAAACAAAGUAUUCCACUAGCCCGUACCAGCGCUGUAAGGACAUGUGCUAUGUGGUGGAAGGGAUUAAGAAGUGUGGCCUCUUCCCUUUUGACCUUUCAGCCAUUGAAUGGUGCCAUUUAAUGCCGUCUCGGUCUCUACCGAGUCCCAACAUCGCCUCUCCUGGAACCACCAGCACCUCCACCCCAGCGACCACUCAGCCCCUGCUCCAAACCCAGCCCUAGAAGAGCACCCCUAACCGAGGGAAUUCAUAUCCUUAUUUCAUUUUUUUGUGACGGAGGGAGGGUAGAUCAGCUAUAAUAUUGCAAAUAGAUUGUAGUUUCCAUCAAUGUAAUUGUCUGCAUCGCUUCCAGUCCCCCAUAUAUCUUUUUGCAUAUAUGUAUGUAUACACACAAAAGACUCCUUGUGUUUGCCACAUGCUUCACCGGGGAGGAAUGCACUCACCAGUGGAAGGACAAGGGUGAGAAGGAGAUGGCAAAGAAAGAGCUUCGGGCAGCCCGGCACAUAAUCUAGUUCCAUGCUGACCACACCGCUCGCGUUGCAAAAUAAAGUAAAACACGUUAUUCAAUGAUUGCACCCACAGUGCUCGUGCCUGCCAAAAAUUAAGCGCUAAAAUAGAAGUCAGUUCUAUUUGUGACGCUGAAAGCGGUGCGGUGCAAGUCCUGCCUCUCCCAUCUCCUCACUGGUUUAUAGAAGCAGAUACCCACGUGCCAUCUCCUCAUUGGUUAAACCCACGUGGGUGAUUGAAAGGUCAUAUAAAACCCAAAGAAGAAAAACGCCUGGAAGGAGGAGAGAUGACUAGAAAAUAAUCGGUUUUCUGUUUGGAUUAAUUCUCAGGUUAGAGGACCUUGUGCAUUUCAGGUAAAAUAAUAACUAUAUAUAUACAAUAUAAACUCAACUUUAUAUCCCAGGACAGCCAGCUAGCUAAAUAGAACAAAUUAGCUAGCAACUGCUAGAUAGCUAGAAACAUUUCCAUAAAUGUUUAAUGCUUUUCGACCGGUCCCCAAAUUAAUAUAAUUGGUUCAGAGUUUGUUUUGAUAUUUCAACCUGCGUGUCAUGAUCACGGUUUGGUAUGGGGGACAAAAUCAAUUUACGCACAAGGCCUGUUUUGGUAUGAUGUUAUGGAAUCUAUAAAACGAUAACUAGUUACUAUACUGCUGUACAGUUGCUAGCUAGCGAUGUCUGUAUGAAGAACAUAUAUUUUUAGCUAGUUUGUAGCUAGUUAAAACUGCAUCGCCUGUCAAUGCACGAUUGUCAUCAUUGCUCUGAAAGUUGGCACAGUUUAGACAAGAGAGUACUUUAGGGGUUAUUAGCUACAUAAAAUCAAAUCUCACUGACCAAUUGGGUCUGCGGUCUAUUUUUCCGUCGAGAGAUGUUGUGUAGCCUUCAGUGGGCAAGCGGUCAUUUGAUGGAGGAAGUGAUAUUGUAGAGGAGUUCCUACAAGAGGCAAAGGACAUCCAACAACGAGAACCUUACCAAAAUGGAAAGUUGUUACAUUUGUAUCCUUUUUUGUUGUUGUACGGCAUGUGUGGCAAAGGCUGAGAUUGUAUCAUUUUACUUGUCCUGUGUUAAGUCUCCUGUGUCAAGUCUCGGAUUUUGUGAUAUAUUAUUAUAUUAUUAUUAUAUUAUAUUAUUUUGUGUGCACCUCUAUUUAGCAAAGUCAAUCUAUGAAAACAUUUAUUGAGUUGGCCUAUAAUGCUGUUCAUAAAUUCUAUAUGGUACUCUUAUAGUAUUUUAACCUCAACAUGUUUAGGAGUGUAUGUUGUAAUUAAUGAUCUAUUUUUGAUUUCAGUAGUCUAUCACGUGCCUUUGGAGGGAAGGCGGUAUCACAUCACCAAGGAGCAGCUUGCGUUCCUCAUAGAUUGUCAUAUAACCAUCCGACAAAUGGUAGAUGUUCUCAAUGUGUCGCACUCUGUGGUCAAACGGCGCAGGUCCUACUCACUGUUGUCAUACGCUCAGCUGGAUGAGAGGAUCAAAGAGCUGAUAAGACAGAAUGAAGGCAGAGUCUGUGAGGGCACGCUUAAGAGGAGAAGGUGUUCAAGUCCUGUGGCAGAGGGUUAGACGGUCUGAUCCGUGUCAACCCCCAGGGAGCUGCGAGGAGAGCCAUACAGAAGUGGCUACACCAGAGGCAGUACAGAGUUGCAGGCCCAAAUUCUUUGUUGCACAUCGAUGGCAACCAUAAACUGAUCCGGUAAGUGCAUACGCUUAGGCCUCCUGAAUACUGCACUUUUUUUAAAACAAUCUUAACUUCGUAAAAAACAUGAUUUAUCUCCUUUAUAUGGUAAUGAAAGUAUUGUGGUCAUUUUCCUGGGUAUACAGUCCCUUCAGAAAAUAUUUACACCUCUUGACUGUUUCAACAUUUUGUUUUGGUACAACCUGACUUUAACUGUUGAGGCAUCUAGACAACUUGUGUUGCAGCUGAACUGGAGCGGACCUUCCCAAAAGCUAAGGACGUUCUCCAUUUUACCUUUAUUUAUCUAGGCAAGUCAGUUAAGAACAAAUUGUUUUUUACAAUGACGGCCUAACCCGGACGACACUGGGGCAAUUGUGCCCCACUCUAUAGGACUCCCAAUCACAGCCGGUUGUGAUACAGCCUGGAUUCAAAGCAGGGUGUCUGUAGUGAUGCCUCUACCAUAGAAAUGCAGUGCCUUAGACUGCUGCACCACUCGGGAGCCCAUAUUCAUCCACCUAUCCAUUCACAUUUGAAUGACCUUAUCACGCUUUGUUGAAUUCCCUGUUGAGUUGUGGAUUUAUCAUCACUGUAUUCCUGCUUUAGGAAACCCCUUCCACCUACCCUGUAUGAUUUGAUCUCAAGAAAGGUACGACAGACAUGUUCAACCCUUACCAAAGAGUGUCAAGGUGUAUGGCCCCCCCCAGUGGGCUCAACUCUACACGGAUGGGGACCAGUUCUUCGUCUUCACCAACAUAUUUUAGUGUUGUAACCAAAUUAAGUCUUAUAAUGUUUUGAGAAAGUAGAUGAAAGUUUAAUACUCAAACAUAAAUGAGUAUGAAUAAUUUACAUCAAAUAAAAGUUUAAUUUCAGUGAUGUGCAUUGACAUAAACAAUGAAAAUACUGUUGGAGUUUGUGUUGCAGAGAUGCACUUGGAAAGUAAAGGAAGAAAUACACAAGAAGGGUUGAAUAAAUAUAUAUAUAUAUCAUAUUUUAGACAUGGAAUUAUAUUUUACAAAUAAAUUAUUGCAUAUGUAAACAAACAAUUCAAUCUCGACCUCCAUCCUUAUAUUGUCACAGAAAUCACAAAAACCCAGCUCCACCGUCACUGGACACACCUGCAGUGGAACCAGUGCUGACAGAAGUCACAGCACAACCAUGGCACCUCAGACUCACACUCCUGGGGGGGGCUUGCAGGUGGAUCACGCUUCCUGCGGGGAACCUGCAGAUUUCAAUCAUUCAGGAGAAUGAAUAAUGUUGGGGUCCAAAGGCGGCAAACAGGGAGAAGCCGGCUGAUAAAUGAGGGUUUGCCUGAUCGCUGACCAUCCAGAUGCUGAACAGGAUAGGUACAUUUUCCCUAUAUCCAUUCAGUACAUGAGGACUCACAGCCCAGUGCUUGCUUUGUAAUAUCUUUAGAGGAUCUUGUGAGGCAGAUCAAAGUGCGUUAUGGUCAGGAGGAGAGCAGCUUCUUGAAUGUUUUGGGGGAAACAUUCCCCCAGGUAAAUCCGGAAGGAGCGAAACGGCUGUCCCUUGAUGUCCAUUGGAUAAUAAAGCUGGCACACAUUUCAAAUUGUCUUGUCAGCAUCACAUGAAGGCCUGUAUGGAACCAUUGGGGAAAUGAUCAGUGUAUGUGGGCCACACUUCUUCUCUGAGCGACUCUACGCAGCAGUGUGUGGGAAGCCUGCUUCUCCACUCAGUCUGGAGGAGAUAAAAAAAGCAGACAAGAGGUGAAGAACAAAUUGGAGGAAUCAGUACAGGCUGAGCCUACUGGGAAUGAAAGGGAUCGUUGUCAAGACAAUGGAGGACAGGGAUGGUGUGGUAGAAUUGGUGGCCUUGGAGCAGUAAGGCAACGCUGUCAUAAAUCUGUGAAGGAUUUGUCAUUACCUCCUUUAACAUAAGUAUUUUUUAAAUCGGUCCACCCCGCCAAAUCAAUACACAUCACUAUAUUGUCAUUUAAACUUAUUUUUGAAAACAUAACAGGUUCAAAUAUGGUCUCAACUGUCUUAGGCUGCUGGAGGCAUUGGGGAACCACCGGACAGCAACCAAGCACUUUUUGUGGUCAACAAUGUUACUAACAGUAUUAGGUUGCUGUUAAUCAUGAUGAUAUAAAAUGUAACGGGGAGGCCAAACCACUGGUCCAGUAGAAUCCCUAUCUUCAUUGUUUAUUUAUUUUCAUAUGCAAUUAUAUGUCUAAAAUAUAAUAUAUAUAUAUUU